Molecule: ribosomal RNA, 2668 nt
Filed under: Escherichia coli
Lineage: Bacteria; Pseudomonadati; Pseudomonadota; Gammaproteobacteria; Enterobacterales; Enterobacteriaceae
Description: partial 23S ribosomal RNA
Rfam family: Bacterial large subunit ribosomal RNA
Source: RNAcentral
GGGUUGUGAGGUUAAGCGACUAAGCGUACACGGUGGAUGCCCUGGCAGUCAGAGGCGAUGAAGGACGUGCUAAUCUGCGAUAAGCGUCGGUGAGGUGAUAUGAACCGUUAUAACCGGCGAUUUCCGAAUGGGGAAACCCAGUGUGUUUCGACACACUAUCAUUAACUGAAUCCAUAGGUUAAUGAGGCGAACCGGGGGAACUGAAACAUCUAAGUACCCCGAGGAAAAGAAAUCAACCGAGAUUCCCCCAGUAGCGGCGAGCGAACGGGGAGGAGCCCAGAGCCUGAAUCAGUGUGUGUGUUAGUGGAAGCGUCUGGAAAGGCGUGCGAUACAGGGUGACAGCCCCGUACACAAAAAUGCACAUAUUGUGAGCUCGAUGAGUAGGGCGGGACACGUGGUAUCCUGUCUGAAUAUGGGGGGACCAUCCUCCAAGGCUAAAUACUCCUGACUGACCGAUAGUGAACCAGUACCGUGAGGGAAAGGCGAAAAGAACCCCGGCGAGGGGAGUGAAAAAGAACCUGAAACCGUGUACGUACAAGCAGUGGGAGCCUCUUAAUGGGGUGACUGCGUACCUUUUGUAUAAUGGGUCAGCGACUUAUAUUCUGUAGCAAGGUUAACCGAAUAGGGGAGCCGAAGGGAAACCGAGUCUUAACUGGGCGUUAAGUUGCAGGGUAUAGACCCGAAACCCGGUGAUCUAGCCAUGGGCAGGUUGAAGGUUGGGUAACACUAACUGGAGGACCGAACCGACUAAUGUUGAAAAAUUAGCGGAUGACUUGUGGCUGGGGGUGAAAGGCCAAUCAAACCGGGAGAUAGCUGGUUCUCCCCGAAAGCUAUUUAGGUAGCGCCUCGUGAAUUCAUCUCCGGGGGUAGAGCACUGUUUCGGCAAGGGGGUCAUCCCGACUUACCAACCCGAUGCAAACUGCGAAUACCGGAGAAUGUUAUCACGGGAGACACACGGCGGGUGCUAACGUCCGUCGUGAAGAGGGAAACAACCCAGACCGCCAGCUAAGGUCCCAAAGUCAUGGUUAAGUGGGAAACGAUGUGGGAAGGCCCAGACAGCCAGGAUGUUGGCUUAGAAGCAGCCAUCAUUUAAAGAAAGCGUAAUAGCUCACUGGUCGAGUCGGCCUGCGCGGAAGAUGUAACGGGGCUAAACCAUGCACCGAAGCUGCGGCAGCGACACUAUGUGUUGUUGGGUAGGGGAGCGUUCUGUAAGCCUGUGAAGGUGGCCUGUGAGGGUUGCUGGAGGUAUCAGAAGUGCGAAUGCUGACAUAAGUAACGAUAAAGCGGGUGAAAAGCCCGCUCGCCGGAAGACCAAGGGUUCCUGUCCAACGUUAAUCGGGGCAGGGUGAGUCGACCCCUAAGGCGAGGCCGAAAGGCGUAGUCGAUGGGAAACAGGUUAAUAUUCCUGUACUUGGUGUUACUGCGAAGGGGGGACGGAGAAGGCUAUGUUGGCCGGGCGACGGUUGUCCCGGUUUAAGCGUGUAGGCUGGUUUUCCAGGCAAAUCCGGAAAACCAAGGCUGAGGCGUGAUGACGAGGCACUACGGUGCUGAAGCGACAAAUGCCCUGCUUCCAGGAAAAGCCUCUAAGCAUCAGGUAACAUCAAAUCGUACCCCAAACCGACACAGGUGGUCAGGUAGAGAAUACCAAGGCGCUUGAGAGAACUCGGGUGAAGGAACUAGGCAAAAUGGUGCCGUAACUUCGGGAGAAGGCACGCUGAUAUGUAGGUGAAGCGACUUGCUCGUGGAGCUGAAAUCAGUCGAAGAUACCAGCUGGCUGCAACUGUUUAUUAAAAACACAGCACUGUGCAAACACGAAAGUGGACGUAUACGGUGUGACGCCUGCCCGGUGCCGGAAGGUUAAUUGAUGGGGUUAGCGGCAACGCGAAGCUCUUGAUCGAAGCCCCGGUAAACGGCGGCCGUAACUAUAACGGUCCUAAGGUAGCGAAAUUCCUUGUCGGGUAAGUUCCGACCUGCACGAAUGGCGUAAUGAUGGCCAGGCUGUCUCCACCCGAGACUCAGUGAAAUUGAACUCGCUGUGAAGAUGCAGUGUACCCGCGGCAAGACGGAAAGACCCCGUGAACCUUUACUAUAGCUUGACACUGAACAUUGAGCCUUGAUGUGUAGGAUAGGUGGGAGGCUUUGAAGUGUGGACGCCAGUCUGCAUGGAGCCGACCUUGAAAUACCACCCUUUAAUGUUUGAUGUUCUAACGUUGGCCCGUAAUCCGGGUUGCGGACAGUGUCUGGUGGGUAGUUUGACUGGGGCGGUCUCCUCCUAAAGAGUAACGGAGGAGCACGAAGGUUGGCUAAUCCUGGUCGGACAUCAGGAGGUUAGUGCAAUGGCAUAAGCCAGCUUGACUGCGAGCGUGACGGCGCGAGCAGGUGCGAAAGCAGGUCAUAGUGAUCCGGUGGUUCUGAAUGGAAGGGCCAUCGCUCAACGGAUAAAAGGUACUCCGGGGAUAACAGGCUGAUACCGCCCAAGAGUUCAUAUCGACGGCGGUGUUUGGCACCUCGAUGUCGGCUCAUCACAUCCUGGGGCUGAAGUAGGUCCCAAGGGUAUGGCUGUUCGCCAUUUAAAGUGGUACGCGAGCUGGGUUUAGAACGUCGUGAGACAGUUCGGUCCCUAUCUGCCGUGGGCGCUGGAGAACUGAGGGGGGGCUGCUCCUAGUAC